This 37883-nucleotide long non-coding RNA is filed under the name Daucus carota (carrot). Its description in RNAcentral is "long non-coding RNA (DCAR_LNC003118)". The record is from RNAcentral. Lineage: Eukaryota; Viridiplantae; Streptophyta; Magnoliopsida; Apiales; Apiaceae.
CAGAUAGUACUAUUGGAUAUUGGAAAAUCAUUAAUUAGCAGUAUAUCUCUAGCUUGCGAUAUAUGUGUCGGUAACUCUAUACUCUAUGAUGUACUCGCUGUUUGCAAUAUAAAUUGUUUUAAAAUAUGCACUUAAAUAUAUUUUAAUACAUAAUAAUAGUUAUGUAAUUAAGUUUGAAUUUUAGAAAUAUACCCUCCGCAAAUAGUAACUUCCCAUAUCACAUACCUUUAGGUGAGUAUAGGAACAAUAUUAAUCUCUAUUUCUGGUUUUUAUUCUCGUUUUGGAAUUUUUUAUGAACAUAAAAAUCUAUUUAAUAUAAGCUAGAUAGCUAAAAUAUAUUAUGUAUGCUCUCUUUAGUUUUAUAUAUAUAUAGCACCUAUAGGUGAAAUUAUUUUUUUAAUAAAAAUAUAUAAUCAAAAUUUUAAUUCUAGAAAAAGAUAAUUAACACAAAUUUUAUUAUACGAUCAAUAUAUAUAAAGCUGCAUGUAAAAAAUUAAAAUGUUGUAUAAGAGAAAAUAUAUAAAGUUAAAAUUUUAAAUAUUGAUUGUUUGAGUAAAACACAUUUUAUCGUGAACUUGCGGAUGGGUCAUGUGAACUUGAUUAAGACAAUAUCAAUUCCAUUCGUAGUAGUAAGCUUGACCAAACUUCUGUUAAAUAUCGGUUUAAAAUAAGUAAGGCCAACAAAAUUUUUAUUCGGAUUUGAAUGUCGUUCAUUCUCACAUAUAUUUGUUUAUAAAAUAUAUUAGUCUAAAUUGUUAAGUAGUAAACUGUAACAGAAAAAUGUACUUGUGUAAACAGUCUCUCAGUAACAUUUCAAAGUAAAAAAAAUGAAAAGAUAAAAAACUGUCCAGCUUAAUGUAUUUUAAAGUGUAAAUCAAAAGAGGAAAAAAACAAUUAGCAAGAAACUGUGCAUGUGUAUUGAUUUCCUGUGCAUCUGUAUGCAGUAUAUGUGAAAUAUAUUUACCAGUUGUGUGAAGUAGGCCUGUACGCGGUUCGGAUUGGUUCGGUUGGAGGGUAAUAACCGAACCAAACCGCAACUUGCGGUUUUCUAAAAUCUCAAAUCGCGACCAAACCGUUGGUUAAAAAAAAUCAACCAAAUCCACCCACGUAAUUGCGGUUGGAGUUGCGGUUCAACCGCUAAAAUAGUUUGACAAAGAAGUUCUAUCAUACACUCUGAUAUAAGUUUCCAUUUGGAGCAUGAAAUAAAUUACAGUCAUGGACACAUUGACUAAUUUAUAUUUGGCCUUGCUCAAAGAGUCCAAAUUUCAUUAAUUUAGUAACUUCUUUUUAUUUAUGUGAAUAUCUAUAUGUAAAUAUAUAAACAUAUAUAAUAAAUAUAUUUAAAUUUAUAUAAUGUGCGGUUGGCGGUUGCGGUUGGUUUUUUGCGGUUUUAAAAAAAAAUGAAUCCGCAACCAAACCGCAAAUUAAUGGUUAUUAAAAAAUCCAUCCGCGAUUGCCCACAUUGUGCGGUUAUCCAUAAUACACGGAUCGGUUACGGGUGGUGGUUGCGGUUGAUGCGGUUGAGCGGAUUGAAUGUACAGCCGACUGUGAAGUAGUGAUGGUCUGAUACUCACAACUCACGAGCCGCGGAUUAUACAUACACACAUACAUUCAUUCUUUAAAGGGUUGAAAUGAGUCAGACUUUAGACCAUCCAUCAAUAUAAUAUCCAUCCACACUUUGGUGAUCUUGUACCUCUCCAGAUCUCUCUCUAGCUCCUCUCUAUAAAACCUCUCUCCCAUCACUCCCUACUAUUCUCCCUUCAAUCCCCACCUUUUUGUUCAAUCACCAUGACUGAUCCUUACUCACAUCCCUACCCUCAAUGGUUCAGAUUCAACCCCCCUCCUCCCCCUCACCACCAUACCUACUUUUACUCUUCUCAGAACCACCCUCCUCAGCCACCACUCAACAAUUACAUGUUCUACAAAACAAACCCUCCUCCUCCAACUCCAACUCCAACUCCAACCUCACCUCCUCUCAGAGAAGCAUUACCUUUACUCACCCUGAGCCCCAUGAGAAAACCAGAUCAAGAAAUUACCACAGCUGCUCAAAUUCCACAAAUACCCUCCUCCUCUUGCAGCACAAGCGGCCUUGACCUCAACAUGAUCCCCACCUACAUGGAUGUGGAUGAGUACAAGAAAAGCAGCCGAGAGGCCCGAGAUGAUAUCGACGAAGAUGUGGAUGAAAAUGAUGAACAAGUGACGGUAGCACUGCAGAUAGGGCUUCCAAACCCUAGCCCUGCCGAUAUGGCUGCGUAUAAUAUGCAUCAUCUUUUAACCACUUCCAAUUGUUCCUCUUCAUCAAACACUAAUUCCACCACUAGCGCGGGUCAUUUGUCAGCCAAUUGCUGUUAUUCCUCGAAUAAUAGCAGUCAUAAUACGAGUUCCGGUUCAGGAGGGAUGCAUAUCAGCAAGUAUUGGAUUCCAACUCCUUCUCAGAUUCUUAUUGGGCCUACCCAAUUCUCCUGCCCAGUUUGCUACAAGACCUUCAACAGAUACAACAAUAUGCAGGUACUUCUUCUUGUUAAUUUUCCGUGUUGAAUUUUGUUAAUAGAUAGAAAAGUGUGUAGAUGAAAUGAUGAAGGUGUAGAUCGACAGUAGAGAGGUAGUAGUGAUUGUAAAUGAAUAAACAAGUGUAUUCAUUUAUGGUUGAUUGAACAAGACAUGUUGCACAUACACACAGAGAGGAGAAUAGUAGAUAGCGCACACACUCUCCUUUUUGCUCACACUGAACAACACAGACUGCAUUGUUCUUUCCUUCCCUGUGCUUUCAGAUUGUACAAUCUCCUCGAAGUCCGUGCAGUCUCCUCUCUCUCUAGUCUCUUUUUCACCUCUUAUAAAGUUUACGUAAUAGUGCUAGUAAAACUCCUCACUUUGCUCUCCUUUUCAGACACCAAAUCUUCAGACUCACCAAGUCUUAACUACCAUUUGUUCGGUAAACCCCGCAGGUUUGGCAAGUACAAUUAGCCAAUUUUACAAACUAAUUUACCUGCCGCAAAAAUAAUUAGAAUCAUUUUUUAAUUUUAAUUAGCCCUUUUUAGCUGAUAUAGUAUGAUUUAGGGGUUCUAGAUUUGAUCAAUAUUUUAACAUGUAUAUAUAUUUCUCUGAUGAUAUGUAAUGGAUCCUUUGUCUUACAAAUCUAGGUUAAUUUCCGUUGAUUGUUUUUGAUAAUAUCAAAUUCAAUUGAACUAAAUGAUGUGUUCCGAAUAAUUUUGUCAAAAAUAGAUGAAAUAAUGACAUGUUCUCAAUAAUAAUGAAUUUUGUUGGGACUUCAAAUUACAAAGUUUAUACUUGUAUUCCCCAAAUUCAUAAAUUUUUCCCGAAUUUUAUAUAGAUUCGAAGUUACUGAUGAUGUGAGUAAAAAUAUAUUCAUUUUCCUGAUUUGUUUGAAAUGUGUUUAUACAUAUGUAAAAUUUAUUAUAUUUUGUAUAUGUAUUUAGAUGCAUAUGUGGGGGCAUGGAUCACAAUACAGAAAAGGCCCGGAAUCACUAAGAGGGACUCAACCUACAGGAAUGUUGAAACUUCCCUGCUAUUGCUGUGCCCCUGGAUGCAGAAACAACAUUGAUCAUCCGAGAUCAAAGCCCCUCAAAGAUUUCCGAACCCUUCAAACACAUUACAAGAGAAAGCACGGGAUCAAGCCCUUCAUGUGUCGAAAAUGUGGCAAAGCUUUUGCGGUGAGGGGUGACUGGAGGACUCAUGAGAAGAACUGUGGGAAGCUUUGGUACUGCAUCUGCGGGUCAGAUUUCAAGCACAAGAGAUCCCUGAAAGAUCACAUCAAGGCCUUUGGACAUGGCCACGCAUCCUAUGGUGGUGGAUUUGAAGAAGAAGAUGAUGACCCUGCAUCCGAAGUUGAACAAGAUGAUGACGAUGAUAAUGAUCAGUCCUCGUCUUUGCAGUGAAUCAUCAAUCGUGCUGAACUCUCUCUUAAAAGUAUUUAAAUGUGCACAAACAUGCAGAAGAUGUACAAUUUCUCUUUACAUUUCAGUGAUUCUAAUUAGGUUCCGUAAUUAAGGUUUAAGCACGUACUCUCAUCUAGCUUAAAAUUUAGUUAUGUUUAUCUAAAUCCCUCGCCCUACCUUGCUAAUUUCAUGAUCAUGGCCUGUAUUAGCUAUCAAUUGUCAAAAUUUCAAGGUUUUAAUGAUCCUGUAGUUUUGUUUUUCAUGCAAAAUAGAUUAAAUAUAUUAUAUCCCUCUACUAAUUAAUAUAUAUAGUUAGGAAUAAGUGUACUGAAUAUCUGCAUGCCUCCUUAUUUCCCUUCUCUCUAUAUCUGUUGGCAUCAGAAAUUGGGAAGCCUACGGGGAUCGAUUGACAUGGGAAACAUAGCACCACAAAGCUCGGGAAAGCGAAGAAAGACAAUAGUGCAUGGAAACCGGUAAUUAUGCAAUAUAGUAAAAAAACAGUACUUAUAUGUCAUUCUUAUCAGUUUAUAUGAGCUAGCUAGCUAGCUAGCUAGGACGCCUAACUACUAACUUAUGAUCCGCAAUACACAAUUUAUUUAUUUAUAAGCUGCGUUGUCAGAGCUUGGAUGUUAGGAUAAAUUAAGGAUGGGUGUCUGCAAACAAUUUAUAUAUUUUUUCAAAUAGAAUAGGGAACUUGUAUAAGAUUUGAGGGUAUAGUAACUUAUAUGAGAAAACUGGAGAACCUAUCCUAACAUUUGAAGAUAAUAUUACAAAAUAAUUACUAUACAGCCCUUUUUCUACAUGAAACUAUAUACUAUUAAGGUUUGAAUACUUUCAAAAUCUACAGGUAUCCUUAUCUGAAGGCAUCAGAUAUUUUCUAAUUCUCUUAAAUUUUGGGGGAGCUGAUUCCAUAAUGUCGUAUGAGAGGCAGUUCAAGUUUGCUUUAUAUAACGGCUCGUGAUAUUAGUAUAGAUACGGGAUCGAAGUUUGUCGAACCAACACCAGAUUUAUAUCGGACUGAAACUGAGCGGCUCUUUAAAAUUUAGGAUGAAUAUUAAAUAUAUGUAAAAUAUAUUUACAUAUAAUUAAUGAAUGAUUCUUAUAUAAAUGUUUUUUCCAAUUGCCAAAUAAGGGUACUUGUUUAGGCAUUGAGGGAAUUCCUUGGAAACAAAAUUUGUAACAGAUUUUGAAUACCUAGCUAAACAAGUCACCUAGCUAGCUAGCUCAUUUCAUCAACAGUUCUCUAGAAUGUUGUGAAUAAAUUAUCUACACUCUGGAACAGAUAUGAAUAUGAUCAAAUAUGAAUAUGAUCAAGAAAAGCUUUAUACUAGGCAAACAAUACUGUACUAGGUACUAAUAUCUGCUCAAAAAACAAAACAACACUCAUACACAUAUUACCGUACACUGUGUUUUAUUUACUCCUGUUUGAUUAAUAUUUAGUAAUGUAUAUUUUCUGGAUAAUUUUCAAAUGAACUUUUUACACGAUAUCUCUUGGAAGUGGAACUGAUUAUCAAUUGCAUGAUGGCUUUAGAAAGUAACACGAGUAAAUGAUCGGAGAAAUUGAAGGGAACGUAAUGGAGGAUCAUGCAUGUACUCAUUAUGAGCCAGGGCGUGGAGGUUAUAUUAGAGCAAGUCCAAGAGUGCCCUAAAAUCAUGUCCUAAAUCAAAAUUUAAGGCAUUUGAAGUAAAAUGGUGCUCCAACAAUGUCCUAGUGAUGCCUCAAAACACUAGGACAUCUAACAAAUGCCUUAUUUUUGAGGCACAAUCAUGCAUGCCCUAAACCAUUUCUAUCAAUAAAAUAUUACUCCCUCCGUCCCCAAAUUUAAGGCAUUUGAAGUAAAAUGGUGCUCCAACAAUGUCCUAGUGAUGCCUCAAAACACUAGGACAUCUAACAAAUGCCUUAUUUUUGAGGCACAAUCAUGCAUGCCCUAAACCAUUUCUAUCAAUAAAAUAUUACUCCCUCCGUCCCCUUUUACAUGUCCCUUUUGAAAAUUUUUUUUGUCUCAAAUUACUUGUCCACUUCUCUUUUCAAAGCAACUUUUUGUAUGUUUUUUCAAAAUGUAACAACUUCCAAUGUUUGACUAGCAUAUAUAUAUACACAACUCUAUCUAAUUCAUCACAUUUACUAGGUAUAUGUAUGAAAGCAAGAUAUCCACCUAACAUUUUCUUAAGAUGCGUUAUUUUUUCAAAAGGGACAAGUAAAAGGGGACGGAGGGAGUAGCUUACUCACAUUCCAACACACCUCCCUUCUCUUUCUUUUUCACUUCCCUCCAACAAUAAUUCAAAUAUACUAUUAUUUAGAUAAUAAGGCACAAUAUUAAGGCAUAUUGUUGGAGUUGUUAUGUUAAAAUGAUGUCCUAAAUCACUAGGACAUUAUUUUUUAUUAUAUAUAUAGGGCACUUCCUAGGACAUUGUUGGACUUGCUCUUAUAACAGAUCGAUGACGAGAUAUGUAAAGAGAUAUACUUAAUUAAACGAUUAAUAAGGAGACAAUAACAAGAUUUCUUUAACUUUUACUUUUAGGAAUGAUGAUGUUGUUACAUGAAUCGGCUUGGUUGAUGAAUGCAAGUGGUUUUUCUUUAUCAGGAUUCAAUCUUUCAUGAUUCAUUUUUAUAUGUUUCAAAAUUUACAAAGACCAAUGAUGUAUAAUCAGUUUAAAUAAUUUCACCAGCAUUUAAGAAUCCCUAACUGAAAGGAAUAUUGGAGAUGAUGAGCAGAUAUAUAUCAGAGAGCUAGUCGCGUUUGUUUAAUUGAGAGUAGAAAGAGAUAGGCUUUUCAUCCUGCAAAUAUAUGCAGCAGCUUUUGGGGUGCAUAUGAUGCUCUUUUGCUUUAAUAAGUGGAGGGAUGUUGUCUACUGUGCUCAUGGAUGGAACUUAUUUAUACCCUUUAAGUUUCACCUUUCUAUCAACUUGUUUUUUUAUUUCUUACAUAGCGUGCGGUUGUUUGCGUGUAUAUAUCAAGGAUUUGGGAUCACAUGAAUAUAUCAUAGUAUAUGAUCAGUACUGUCUGAUUAAUAAAAGAUACCAAAUUCUGAUCAAAUUGUGCACGAGAAUUAAAAGAUGCAUGCAGUAUAUAUAGUUACAAACCUGUGGCAAGAGCUAAUUGUAUUGUGCUAUCGGGUUUAUCAUCUGUUAUCCAGAGUCCUAAUUUCGAUCCAACUAGAUAUUAAUUUUAUCAGGACGGUACUACCCUCUGAACUUAUAAACAUAUUCAAGAAAACCGAGGGCAAAAAAUCUGAGGCAUUUAUUGUGGAGCCCUAAGUUUAGUUAGUUGGGAAAUACUACAACGUAACACAGUAUAAAAGUACUGUGCAAUUUACAUAUACUGCUGCAUACUGCGAGUGAUGAUGGUCAAAUGGGUUUUUAGCUACAAGCUGCUACAGUGGUUGCAUACACAAUAAACCAACCUUGCUGACUUGUGGCUGCUGUUGUUUGAAAUGACGUUUCAAUAAUUCUCUUUUUCAUGUCUUUAAUUUUCCACGGAUUUGAAUCUAUACAGGCAUAUCAGUCUGUGAUUUUUUGUGCUGGUACAUAGUAAGGAGCAUAUGUUUGUAUUCUUGCACAGAAGUCUGAAAACCAUAAUUGUAAUAGUACCUCUAUCAUCAAGAUUUAGGAAGAAAGGAAUACUAUGAAGACGACAACGAAUCAGCCAUACAUACAUGUGUAUAUGUAUAGCCUAUACAGCAGGGCUGAAAACAUGUAACAUCACUGUUCAUUGUACAAAGCAAAUUCGUUGCUAGCUUUUCCAAAAAUAUUAUUCAAAAACAUAAGAAUAAAACAAAUAUAUUAGGAAAAAAUUCCCCAUGAUUAUUUUAAAUCUUUUUAUAUAAAUUUCAGCAACAAUAUCCUACUUCGAAUUAUAUUAGAUAUUACAAACAUCAUAGAAAUUGAAAGAUGAUUAUUAAAUUAAUAUAUGUGAAAUAAGAAAUAGUGAUCGCUAAUUUGCUUGUAUGUAUAAAAUGGCUCAAGGAAAACAUUUUUAGAAUAGUGUUUUUGACUAUAUGGUUUUUUUACUGAUCUCUCUUAUUAUGGUUACGUAUAUGCAAGAUUCAUUAUCAGUUCACUAUUGCUAUCUCUAAAUUGAAUGAGUUUGCUCCCUUGUCUCGAAAGGAUCCGAGAAAUUUCUCAUUUUAUUUAAAGUAAUAUCAAAUAUGAUAAAUCUAUAUAUUGAUUACACCCUUAUAUGAUAUAUCAUGCUCAAGUUUAAAUUUAGGAUUUGUAUGUUAAUGUCCCAAAUUUUGAAUAAAUAUUUUCUUAAUUACACAUGGAAUAUGAAAGCAUAUAUUGCAUGAACCAAUGUUGUACAUUUUUUGUUUUUGAUAUCAAUUAUUACAAUUUAAUUACAUGUAUAUAUAAAUAUUAUAGAUUAUAUAUUAUGAAAUACAUAAUAUAUAUGUAUGUUAAGACUAAGACUAAAAUUUAGAAAAUAAUGUUAACAAAAUUUAUACAAAAAUAUUAAUUAACUAAUAAUGUUUGAUAAUAAAUAUAAUUAAUAUUAUUUAUUUGAUGUAUACACACUCGUAUAUUUAUUAAAACCCCAGUUUCCUAUUAUAAAAAAAUUACAAGCCUUUUUCAAGUGAAAGUCAUUCUAAUAUAGAUAUCUCAAAAUAGAUCUAGAAUUUAUUUUUUCCCAUGAACAUCAAACAAAAAACUGAAACGCAUAUUUAUAAUUCCAAAUUUUAUAAAAAUAUUUUUAUAAAUUUUAAAAUAACGAGAGAUCAUAACAAAAUUUGAUUUAAGGAGCGAGGGAUGCCCCUCUGGCCAUUGCUAGAUGUCAUCAAGCCAUGUACGGAGGCCCAGUGAUGAACAAUAUGUUGAGUAAAUAAUUGAAAGGGGGAGGGAUGCCUCAAGACUGGAUCACUGGACAUAAAAAAACCCGUCGCUGACCGGCCGGUCCUUCUCCGUCACUGGAAGUCCUGUUAGAUAUGCAUGCACUUGUAUUAACUGUCAGGUUUUGUCCAUGCAAGCCAUGUGCCCAUCCAAACUGCACAGCUCCAUCUACUAUUGUUGUGCGAUAGCUUUAAUUAUUUCAAAGCCAGGCAGAACUAAAGCAUUCAUUUAUGUACUCAUGUAGUCUUGUGGACCUCUCCUCCAAAUUAUCUUUAUUUCGAUGUUUUCUCUUUUCUGUUACAAUAUUCAGUGCAAGUCAUGUAGUUUCUGCAUAAUAAUAAAACAUGUAAACUGAGCUUCGUGCAUGGCAUGUAAAUGUUAUUCUAUAAAAGACCAUGCAAUUGCCUUCUGUCAAACAGCAGCACUGGCUUGUGUAAAAUCCCAAUGCCCUCUUUUCUCUUCUCUCAUUUCCCAUACUCCAAUCACAAUCACAUAGUCUUUGAAAAAUCAGUUUGGUGGUCACACCUAGUAGUAUUUAAUAGUUUUUGUGAUGGGCUUGACAAGGAGACCAAGCAUUAGUGAGGCAGGAGAAUAUGUAUGAAUGUAUGUAGAUAUGUUUAUUCAUUCCAAACCUGUAUUUGCAUUCCAAUACCAGAGGGGACAACAGUGUCCCCCUUGACCCGAAUCUCUAACCUCUCUUCCGUGUUUUUUUCCCUUUCUAGACUCCCUCGUUUUUGUAAUCCCAAUGCAUGCAUGGUUUUAGGAGCGUUUUAACUUUUAAUAAUACUCCAUACUCUAGUCUCUCUAAAUUGUGUGAAACAAAGAUUAGCUAAAGGUUCCUGCCUAGCACAUAAACAGCACAAUAAAAAGGACGAGUUAAUUUUAUGAUGAAGGUCAGGGAAUUUCGGUGAGUAGUCUAAGCUCGAUAGUUCUGACUGAAUUCUUAAAAUAAACAUUUUUUAAAAAUAUUAAACCUAAAUUUAAAAAAUGUAAUGCAUAGUUCUAUAUGUAUGUGUUUUAAUACCCUAAUAAUGGUGUGUCCUGGCCUGUUCGUCCCCUGCUUUAAGUCCGUGCUUAAAGUUAAAGUUGCUUGUGAUUUUAAACUGAAAAACGUCUAUUUGUGUAAUAAGUAAAAAACUGACUUAAAAAUAAAAAUAAGUCAAGAACUGACUUAAAACUAAAUGUUAGUUUGAGCUAUUUUUCAAUGAUUUAUAUUUUUUAAUUUUUUUUAUAAAUAUUACACAUAAAUCAUAAUUUACUCAUAAAUCACUUUUAUUUUUAUUUUUACUUUUUCUAUAACACAUAACAAAUAUUUUAAGUUAUCUGCUUAUCAUAUGAACAAGUGACAUUAAACUCAGUCAAAACACCUCAAGAACUUAUUCUGAAGUGGCCAGGUUUGGGGAUUAUUUGUAGGCGCGCACAUAGCAUCAUUGUACUCCAUAUCUUAUUGUUUCUGGGUUUGAAAAUCAACUUUAGAAACGCAACCUGUCUUUUUCACUUUAAUUUUAUGAAAUUGUAGAUAGGACCUGAGGACAAUAUGUAUUUUAAGAGGUCCCAUUUGCGAAAGAGAAAAAGUGGAGAAAGGUAAAAAAAUAAUCUUGACCCAUGAUCGCCUUUGAAAAGAUGGAAUUGUAUGUAGUACCCAGUACUGUCACUCUGUCAGCGUGUUUAAUUAUACUACUAGUAAUAAAUAGGAGUAUGAGAAACUCAAAGGAAACAAAAUAAUGCUUUUGAACUAGUAUUAUAACUAGAGGGAUCUCUUUUCACCAUGCAUGAUAUAUAUUAUCCCUGCCAUAUCUAACACCCGGCCCCCUCUUGUAAUCCAUCUACUUGAUUCUGCUAAAGCUAUAGUAGUUUAUCAUUAUGGUCAGUUUUAUUAGAUUCCCCAUCUAGUGAUGUUGUAGAGUAGUUAUCUUGUUGGAAGAAUAGAGGGAAGAAGAAGAAGAAACUUCAUUGUGAAGAAAGAAAGCGUACAUGUAUCACCAAAGACAUAGCACUAGUACUUAUACGUACAUAAGCCACCCAGCUGAUAUACCUCUUUUAACCUAAUUAUUGAACUACAAUAACUUUGGACAUACCUAAUUUUAACUUGAAGGUUGCCUGAAUUUUUAAGAGCAAGGGCUAUGACCUGGAGCCGGUUUGGUAGAUACUACUUAUUGAUUUAAUGUGUUAAGUGAUAGGUUUAAAUUGACUGUUUUAAUAAUUUAUAUCAUAGAUAAUAUAUGAGUUAUCAAAAUAAUAAAAAAAAAUUGAUAGAUUUUUUAUUUUAAUUCUAAAAUUAAUUUUUUAAUCAUAAAAAUAAAAUAAACUAAUUAAAUAAAUACAUCCAGGUAGCUUCUGAUUUUAAAUUAAUUUAUUAAAUUUUUUCAUUUUAAAUCAUCUUAUAACUUUAUUACAUAAACAUAUAAUUUUCUGCUUAAGAUUCGGGAAAAAAAAUUCCAUACAGACACACAUCUCAACAGAGGAUUGGAUACUACUACUAUAUCGUGCUACAGAAUUAUAGAUCUCAACUCCCAACACUUUCAAGGCGUACGAUUUAUAUAACAAUUAAAUAUUUCCAAUUAUUUUCUCGUUAUGGCCCCCAUGAGCGAAGGGGAAUAAGGUAUAUGUCUCCUGGCCACUGUUCUAACAUUAAUAUAUUCUUUUAUACCUAGAUAGUUCUAAUUCAAAGGAAUAUAUGAGAACGCAUAAUAUGCAUUACUUUGAGUUUUUGACUUUUCUGAUAUUUUCUUUUGUAGUAAAAUUAUUUCUUUUACUUUAAUUUAUUACAAUCAUUCUUGUGUUUUCCAUUCAUAUUGAUCUCUUCUUGAAUUUUAUUCAAAGAUUCAGGUCGCACAGUACAGCUUUCCACUUAAUAUUUGAUUACCUUAUUUUUUUUUUAUUUAUUUGAGUCAUAUAUGAGGAUUUGAUAAGAAUAAGACAUUAUUUGUCAUAUACUCCGUAUAAUACUCUAUGUAAAAUUACUAAAUUAUAGUGCAAGUUGUCAUUGUACACGUCACGUGUUUCUCUUUUCCUUGCAAAUUGAAAGAAUUAAUUCGUGCAAUAUAUGCACAUCUACUGAGUACUGACACAUAUAUAUCGAUAUAAUUUAUGCACUGGAUCCAUUUAUGUAAUUCUAAAUUAGUGUAUAUAAUUGCAUCUCACUGGGAAAAAAAAAAGGGUACUUCCAUACGUUCGAUUUUAUUUUUUUUAGGAAUAUAUUGGGACGGUAGAUGGUAGAGCCUAGAGUAGAAUCAUUUCUUUAAAUAGGAGCUAGUAGGUUCCACAACAAAGGCCUAAACGAGGUCCUAGUGGCUAUUAGGCUAAAAUGAGGUUAUAACUAUUUUACAUAUAUUUUCUUUAACAUUAUAAAUUACAGCUUCUAUUUCUUUUUUACUUCAGACAAAAAUAUGUAUCAAUAGAAAAAUAAAGUUGAACUAACAAAAGAAAAAUGGAGAAUUUAGCAGCAGGCCAGAAAUUAGAAUAUCUGGAUACUUGCAAGUUCCAACGAAACUGUGAUUGAAAAACUCUAGAACUUAAUUAUCAGCAAUGUAUAACAAGAAAACCACAUGUUACAUGAAAUUUCUCUUGAAAACCUACUUUAUCUCUAGGGAAAACUCAGUUGAUUUGCUACAUGAGAGGACAUACAUGUAUAGUCCACCCCUGUGAAGGUAUAUUAUUCCAUUAUGACCACCAGUGGGCCUUUCCAAGAUUUCCCUUUGCUUUGUGUCACCACUUGAAAAGUAACUCAAAUAUUCUAACUAUACGCAAGAGCAUGAAUCAAGGUUCAUAUCUGAUUUGUGUUUCUUUAGUCAAUUCCAAACCAGUUAUGCUAUACAAAUCAUUCCUACCCUAAGCCUCCCCCACCAGCUUGACAAAGAAAGAAGAUGCAUCAGACAGCAAGAACAGUACUGUAAUUUGGGUAAGAGAAUAUGAAUUCCUUUUUCUAGGCAAUAAUUGUGAAAUUGCAAAGAAAUUCGUUUCUCAAGAUUCCCAUCAGUUUCCAUUACUGAAAUUUUGGCAAGAAAACGAUAGUUUCCCUUUUGCCGGAAAUUAAUGUGUUGGAGGCUAAAUAUGUUUUUCCUUCUACAAAUCCGUUGGGUUAUGAUUUACACAUAAUUUAUGUAAAAUGAUUGAUCGGCCAAUAAUACCCUAUAGGUUUACGACAUACUUCAAUCUCAACUCCAACUCAAAAUCAAGUGCAUGUGGAAAACUAAAGUAUUCAUCUUCUUUCCGGUAAACCAUUAUAAACUUCAUUAAUACACAUAGACAACAGAUCCAGAAAAUAGUACCUACAAUAUAAAUGUGAUCUUGUGUCCCGUCAUCAUUAGGGAUUCACAUUGCCAUUAGUCUGUUGCUCCUUGCCUUCAUCGCCAACUUCCAGUAUCCACAAAUUUCCAGUGCCAGGCAAAAUAAAACAAUCAUGAGUUAAACACUUAACUUUCAGCAAGAAGAAGAAAUGAUACUUGAGUCAAAAGAUUAGAUAGAAAAUUGAUCACUACCAUCUGUUAUCUAAAUUACCUCAAAACUUGCAGUCGAAACCAAAAUAUUACUGUAACGUCAAUGAUAUCAUUAGAUGAAUGAAUAUUAACAAUAUAAUGAUGAUAUGUCCACUUGCUACUUUUUUCUGAGAUCAUAAAAAUGAAAAAGUAUUUCUUAACUAAAUUUCCUAUUUUUAUGUGUCUCUGUAAGAUUUACAACUGAAUUUUCUAUCUUUAUGUGUGUCUGUGUGCGCUUGUAUCUUCUAGGCAUGCCAGAUUGCCGGUUAAUUAUUAUUUUUUUAUCAUAAUAGUUUUCUAAUCUUUUGGCAUGUGUGUGUGCCAGACGUGUGUGUGUAAAUCUGUAUUCAGUCAAAAUCUUAAAAUCAGAAUACCUAUUCAUUGAUAUCUUGAUACAGUUUAGAUCAUUCCAGCACAUAUGGGCAAACUGUUAGAUAGUAAGUUUCCUUUAACAAGCUUGUGCAUCCCCAUACUCCUGCAGGCUUGUAACGUCAAAUUGAUCAUUACUGAAUACUGGAAAGAACAAUACAGUAUGCAUGGUAGCACAUCUUUUAUUAACAGUUUCACAAAUUCAAAAGAAAAUCAUCUAAGAAAAUAGGGCACCUGCUAAAUUUUCUACCCGCAAUCAGUGGAUGAAACACUUUCUCUCUUUUGCUUUAAGUUAAUGUUCCUUUAUCUUUUCAUUUCUGAUACCCUUAAUAAAUUCAACUUUAACAAUGUAAUUAAAAGCUUACCUUUUUUCGUUAGUAAAGGAAUGAUGAGACCACACAGACAGCUGUAUUUCCAAUCAAUCUCUUCAAAGAUUUGCAUUUCCCACCUGAUAUCUUGAGAAUCUCAUUACCAAACGAUAAAACCGACUUCUGAAGAUUGAAAUCUCAGACAAAAUCUUUCAAUAACACACAAUAUAACAUCACUAGAGAAAGUCUCCCUUUGAUGCACGUCAAUGACUCAUAUACAGUAAAAAUGAUCAAACUGCCUUAGUUUUAUGGGUAGUAAUGAUUCUAUGCAUGCUAAACAUGUAAGGAAGUUGUAUUAUAGAAAUUCCCCCUUGUACAGUUAGUUGCACCAACAAGUUUCUGCACGGCACAGAGGAAUGCAGGAAAUAAAGUAAUAAACCACUGAUCACAAGACAGAUACACGACAAAGAUUUUUUAGCAAAACAAAAUCCAUUUGUAGAUUAUCUUAAUUUAGAAAAGGCUACCGGUUAAUAAUUAAACUUCCUGUACCAUGUCUAGGUCAUUCUUUCAUUUUCCAGAAAUCUAAUUCAUGCUAGCACACAGAUAUACCAUACACAUUUAUAUGAACACACACACAAAUAGAGAGGGAAGGAAAUUCCGACAACACUAUACUGUAUGGUGUAUGCUCAGCAGGAGAUUCAAAUGACCAGUUAUUGUAGGCUUUAGUUUUCAGCCCAUCUCUAUAUUUUACAACUUACUUUAUAGCUUCUAAUCUAUGCAUUUAUCCACUAGGAAUCUAAAAAGAAAAUUUGGGACAGUAGUUCAGCAAACCUAUGGUAGUAUAGUACUAGGUUAUCAUCAUUCUCUCUUCAAUUCACCUUGGAUGUCUCAGCUGCUUCAGUAAUUAUAUGUGUGACAUUUCCUUCUUGAGAUGUGACUUGACCGUUUCACUUGCUUAGUGCCAAACAGUACAGGGUAGUUGCUGCUUUACCAAUUAAACACUCUGAGACACAUGAUUAGGAAAAUUCCCAAUUACAGCCGCAGUUUACUGCCCUACAAAAAAUAACUCUUUCCGAGUCACUACAUCAGUGCUAGCAUCAGUCUUAAAAAACUAGAAUAUUUCAUCAUUACAACAUAUAAGACUAAAAAGUGCACAACAUGUCCAAUGACAUGAAGCGAACAUCAUUACAUAAAAAAUAGAGAUAAAGAGAAUGGGCGCGGGAGUAGAGCUACCCUUUACUUUAGACAAGGGUAAUAAAAACUCUACUUCACAAAGACACGAAAUCUCCCACGAAAAUAUCUUCAUAUUGGGUAUAUGAUGCAUAUACACCUCUGCUCACAAAAGCCAGGAUUCAAGUCAAAAUAAUCGUCUGAGUUCAUAAACAACAUUUAUAAAAAUUUAGUUUAUCAUACCUGCAGCCCGGAUUAAUAUACUUACUGCCCGGCUUUCAUUCAAAUUUAGAGAAAAUACGGUAAGUAUCCCGGGAUUAUAAUCCUAAACACAAACAUGACCUAAAUAUUAUUAAAUCCCAAAUCAAAGUAAAUGUCUCCUUUCAGCUGCAAGAGUGAUUGCUAACAAUGUAUCCUAUUUCGACCAAAUUAAUGUUAUAUUACGGAUAUCAACCGAACUAAGGCCAAAUGUAUUGUCGCUAAACCGAUAUAAUUUCAUUCUAUCACAUCUUGCAAACAUCUAAAUAUACAAAAACAUGCCCCAAGAAUUUGUACCUUCUAAAUAUAUAUAUACAAUUUAAAACAAAUUGAGUACCAAAUCACAUUAGGCAUAAUGAUAGAAGCCAAAAACACAGGAAGCAAAGCUCAUAUAAAGAUAAUUAAGCACAUAAAAAUACUAAAAAUAUAGACAGUGAUAAAAGAAUAACGAGAGAGCCGACCUCACUUCCAAGCACCGAUACAGUUCUCUUCCCCGACGACUGGUGAUUACAAGUUGUCUGUGUAGGCUUGUAUUAUAUGGACACAGAGUAAGUGGGCCGUUUUGGGCCUGGGGACUGGCUGGUCAUGUCUCUGUUUCUUUUGAUCCAACUUCACUUGCCAUUUUAAUAGGAAUUAAAUAUACAAAGUGUGAACAUAGGACAAUUUUUUGAAACGUAUAUUAUGAAAUAAAAUGAUAUAAAAAAAUAUUUGGCACAAAUUUUAGUUAUUAAUUAAAUUAAAUUUUAGUUGUGGUUGAGAUAAUUCAAGAUAUUUUGUUUUGUGUAUUGGGAUAUGAAGCUACAACAAACAAUGGUUGAGAGUUUCCUUGUGAAUGUUUCUUUAAACUUACUGCAUCCUUGUGAAUUUUUCUUUCCUGCCAUCAGGCAUUAGGACUUGAGAGAAAGCAUGAAGUAAAAUUAAUUCGGAUUCACUUAAAUCUCUGUAAUAAUACAUGAUCCACUUGACAUCACCAUGAAGAACAGAAAUCUUGAGAGUUGGCUUUCAUUGUUGAUGGCAUUUGUCAGGUGAUUGCACAAGAUGCGUCAACAAUGUUGCGAUGACAGCCGGCUGCAAUUUUCGCUAUGCUGAAUCUGCUAGGUGAGCUUGUGCUGAAGCCUGAGUCAAAUCCUGUGAUUGAUGGAACAGAAGCAAAUUGUGACAUUGCUUCCAUUUGCCAAUCAUGCGUAGCAAUGAUUAUAACUGUAAUGUUUAAACUUACUAAUCCAUACUAUCAUUUAUCAUGUAUUUUCAACGUUGAUGAUAAGAGCUUCGACAAUCUCUCCCAAUUGCUCAUGUUAUUUGCGCAGUACAUCUAUUGUCUCCAAGCAAGUACCGCAGUUGUCUCCAAGCAAGUCCACCGACAAUUUUUAAGAAAUGUUGUGUCUCGAAAUGGUGAUCAUGAUGCUGGUAUGCCAUAAUAUCUAAUCAAGUUCAGGCCCAAAGUUUCUAUCAAGAGGAAAAAAGCACUGAGACACUAUGUCUUUGAUACUAAUUCUAAGCUCAAACGACACCUCUGCAUUUAUAUUUAUAUAUUUAAUAUAUUAGCAUGAUUAAAAUCUUUAUCCACAAUUCUUGCUACCACAAGCAAUUCUAUUUAAACUACAAUUAAUUAUAGGAUUUUAGGAGUAAAGCAUGAAUUUAGGAAUGUAAACAGAUACGCCCCCAUGGUGAGGAGGUGCUGAAAAAGAUACUAUAUAUCCGUGACGGAGUUUGAAUUCAGGACUUUGUUAUGGCACAUGUUAAAAAAAGUAAAGUGUAAUAACCAAGUGAUUCUGACAUAAAAACAUUUUAUGCCUUCAUGAACAGAGAAACAAACCUCAUAUGUGAGUGUACCAGCUAAGCCUAUGGUCUUACCGAAGAGUUUGGAAAUUGUGGGAUCGCCAUGUCUAGAUUCCACUGAUGCUACAUUCAUCAUACACAGGAAGCACCACGACCUGUUAGUAACCUGUGAUAUGUACUCAAACCUGUCAGGAAAAAUCCAAACAAAUGUUUGUUACAGAGGCAUUACAAUAUUUGAAUGGCAUGGCCAUGAAGAAUAUUAAAAAUGUGCAGACAUGCAUAUAAUAUAAUAAUAUAAGAUGGGCCCACUCGGUGCCGGAUAAAAAUAAGACAUUGGUGCAUGAAAUAUACACAAUAACACAAAUGCAUUCUUUAAAAGAAUACUGUAGCUGUCUUAUACCCCGCAGUAGCAAGAGACAUAGCUCGACAAAUAAUGCAAGAACUCUACAUAAACUAUAAUGAGAGACUAACCAGGCUUCUGUAGAAUCUAUUGCAGAUAAAGCCACCUCAUGUGCACCACAAGGAACCUUUUGCAAUCGCAUGACCAUUAUCCUAUGCGGAGUCCCGCGGGAAUCCACCCCUGGGUACAUUACAACUUAUAAACAAACAAAACAGAUAUCUCUCAAACACGCGACAGUAACAAAUGCACAAAUAAUAAGUCACCUACGUAUGAAACAUAUUCAGACACAAGGACAUCUACACGUAGGCAUCAAGACAAUAUGAUAUAGCUGGCUUCAGAUACAUAACCAUAGUAACAAACUAACAAUACAAACCUGGUUGUCUUAACAUGGAUUAGAAAAUUUAAUACAAAUCUGACAUACUGCAAUAAUAAACGACAAAGUUCAGCGAUAUCUCGCGACAUAAAUGGACAAACAAGAGGAUUACAGAGAAUUCGCUACAUAAGAACAAAAUAUGUGGCCCAUCACAAAGCUUCAGAAAUUGAAGUUACUGCAUUACUACUGUGCCACCACCUAAGCCGAUGGCAGGAUGGUUUUAGCAGAGGAGCCACUACCAGUACCGCUCCUCCGCUGGCGGACGAAUGCAACAAAGUAACUGCCAAAUUCUUCGCUUGGCCUCUGCGGAUUGUCCCUAAAAAACUCUCGGCAACAUUCCACGACCCGUCUUGACAUCUUACCGGAUUCAAUGCCAAUAGCUUGUCGAAAAUCACGGCUUUUGCGAAAUGCAGCUACAGCAGCGGCGGAAGCUUUCUCGAUUUCAUCCGUGUACUCAACACUCAUUUUAAAAUCUGCAAUACCAUCAUCAACAGCACGUUUCCAUUCCUCCUGAUAGACUACACUACCUUUAAAUGCCUCGAUUGCUGCCCCACAAGCAGUAGCCACCAGCCUCUCAUAUUCGUCACCCGCCUUGAAUCUUUCAACACCUGCCGCUAUGAGGGAGUCCAUCUCAGCGCUAUUUUUAAAUUCUGCAAUCACAUCUGCGGGAGAAGAGAUCGUCGGAAGCCUCCCAUUAGGCUCAGAUACUUCAUCUUCUAGUAUUGCCACAUUCCUUUCAUCCAGGCUCUGGUCAGCUAGGGCUUCAGUCACCUUUCCCGCUAGACUUUCGUGUAGCACAUGGACAUCCUCCAGCUGUUUCAUAUACAUACCCCUUGCUCCCCUCAGCCUCUCUGCGAGAUUAUGCACAGACUCUAACAAUCCCUGCUGAUACUCCAGUUUGUGCUGCACCCUCUUAAAAUUGUUCACAGCCUCAGCAACCUGAUCCUCCAGCCGCAGCCGCUCAGCAGCUAACAUUUUAGCGUUUUCCUCCUUCACCUUCUUUAGCUCCGUUUCUACCUUCUUCUUACACUUCAACAACUUCUUGUUGCGUGAACGUUCCUUCACGAAGGAACUUGCCUGCCCAGACACUUCACCCACAAUCUGCAUCAUAUAUUGAUGUUUAGAUACCUAACAUAACCAACAUGCUUAUAAUCACAAGAAUAAUGAAAAGGUGUAAGUGAAGAUUAAACUUACCAAACUGGCAGCCCUCUCAGCCCGCUGCACUCGGCGGCGGAUGUGCAUCUGUCUAGCUUAUGCUGAUCAUCUUCCGUCAAGAAUUGGGAGAGUACCAGGCGCGGCGCGGUUUUGAACAAGUAACCGACCCGCUGACGCUUCGCGCCGGAUACAGGAUCUGUCUCAUACUCAUCGUCUUCAGAACUCUCAUACACUACUUGUUGACGAUAAUGACGUACUUGCCCCCGGUUCAUCAGUGCUCUUAAAAAACUAGAAUAAAUCAUCAUCACAACAUGUGUAAGACUAGAAAGUGCACACCAAGUCCAAUGACAUGAAGCAGACAUCAUUACAUAAAAUAUAGAGAAUAAAGAGAAUGGGCACGGGAGCAGAGCCACCCUUUAGUUUAGACAAGGGUAAUUAAAAAAUCUACUUCACAAAGACACAAAAUCUCCCACGAAAAUAUCUUCAUAUUGGGUAUAUGAUGCAUAUAACCCCUCUGCUCACAAAAGUCAAGAUUCAAGUCAAGAUAAUCUUCUGAGUUCAUAAACUAGAUUUAUGAAAUUUAGUUUAUCAUACUUGCAGCCCGGAUUAGUAUACUUACUGCCCAGCUUUCGUUUAAAUUCAGAGAAAAUAAGGUAAGUAUCCCGAGAUCAUAAUACUAAAAACAAACAUGACCUAAAUAGUAUAAAAUCCCUAAUCAAAGUAAAUGUAUCAGAUUUCAACCAAAUCAUUUUAUAUUACAAAUUUUAAUCGAACUAUGGCCAAAUGUAUUGUCAGGGUUCCGGAGAUGGUUGGAAAAAGUUGUGGUCAGGGUUCGAUCCGCGUGAGCGACGUACAUUUCUCAGGAAGCAAAGCUCUUAUAAAGAUAAUUAAGCACAAAAAUACCAAAAAUAUAGACAGUGGUAAAAGAAUAAUGAGAGAUGACCUCACUUCCAAGUUCCGAUACUGUUGUCUCUUCUUCGAACACUGGUGUGAGUACUCUGAAACUAGUUGUCUGUUUAGGCUUGUAUUAUAUGGAGACGGAGUAUGUGGGCCGUUUUGGGCCUGGGGAUGGGCUUCUCAUGUCUCUUUUUCUUUUGAUCCAACCUCAAUUGCCACUUCACAAAAUUGGAAUUUUUUUUAAACGUGUAUUAGAAAUAAAAAUAUAUUUGGCGCAAAUCUUAGUUAUUGAUUGAAUUAAAAUUUAGCUUACAAACUUUUAUAAGAUAUAAUUUUCAUACAAAACAAUUAUAUUUAUAUGUGAUUUUUUUAGCCUAUCGAAUUAUGGGUAAAACAUUCUAAAUAGUCAAAAUAAAAAAUGCUCAAAAAAGAUGCCAUUCUAAAAAUAAUAGCUUUUCUUGACUCUUAAAAUCAAAUUAAUCAAAUUUUGAGUGAAAUUAAAUAAUAAGAUUCAGCAAAAAUAGUUUAUAAUAAAUUAGAUAUUAGAUUCUAAAUCUAAUAUAUAGUACAAAUAAUGAAUACAUAAUGUUAAUUUUAUAGUUAUUUCAUUGUUGAUGGCAUUUGUCGUGAUUGUACAAGAUUCGUCAACAAAACCCAAAGGUUGCAAUUUUCGCUAUGCUGAAUCUGCUAGGUGAGUUGUGCUGAAGCCUGAAUCAAAUCCUGUGAUUGAUGGAACAGAAGCAAAUUGUGACAUUGCUUUCGUUUGCCAAUCAUGUGUAUUGUGUGGCAAUGAUUAUAACUGUAAGUCUGUAAUGUUUGAACUUACAAAUCCAUAUCCUUUAUCAUGUAUUUUCAACGGUGAUGACAAGAGCUUCAAGAAUCUCUCAAAAUUGCUCAUAUUAUUUGCGCAUUACAUCUGCUGUCUCCAAGCAAGUACCCCUGUUGUCUCCAAGCAAGUCCACCGACAAAUUUUUAGGUAAAUGUCGUGUCUUGAAAUGGUGAUCAUAAUGCUGGUAUGCCAUAAUGGGGCCGUUUGAGUAACCUUAUUUAUCAUAAAUAAGAGUUUAUUUACGGAGAGAAGUGCAUGAAACCUACUUUUUUCUAAAAUAAGCACUUAUUUUUUAAUCUAAAAACGAAUAUGAAAUACCGUUCAAAAGAAGCAAAAGAAGUGUUAUUAUGUCGAGUAUGUGAACACGAGAUUACAAUUAACUCAUAAGACUACAAGAUUCUGGAUAGUCCCAUGCAUUCAUAUAGAGAAUACAGUUAUGUAUUCUAUGACAUGAAAUUUAGAUAUAUGCAUGACCAACUCAUAAGAAACAAAUGCCCAUCUUCAUCAAAAUCGUCAAACAUUAAUUUCAUGCAUAUAUCUAAAUUUCAUGUCAUUAUCAAAUUACAAACAAAUGCCCAUCUUCAUCAAAAAUCGUCACAAACACAACUUCAUCAAAAUCAUCAAAUAUCAAAAUAAUAUAAUACAAAAAAUAUCAAAACUGUCUCAGGUAAUAAUCAAACACUUAGACCGCAAGAAUUUGAAGUACUAAGAUAUAUAAGAGGCGAAAGAGAUUACCAUUCUAUUAUGAAGAUGGGGAGAGAAGAAUAACAACUACAAUCAAGAUUCACCUCUGAAAUAAUCUAAAAUUUCGGUCAGUGAGUAUCAACACGUCUCUGUAAAGAAAGAUAAAAGAAGUAACAGAAGAAUCAGAGAUAAAACUCAAAGACAGACAUAAUAAUCAACAUUCAAAAGAUAUUAGAUUCAAAAAAAAUUAAAAAUAAAAAGAGUGAGAGUGAGAGAUACGACAUAAACAUCAUCAACACGAAGAAUGCAAUCAAACACAUCACAAAAUAAAAAAAAAAAAAAAAAAUCAGAAUCGGACUAAAUUAACAUUCAGGUUACAAAGCAGAUACAAUAUAUCGAGAAAUAUAUAGAACUUAGUGCAGAAGAAAGAGAUGGAAAGCGAAAAGGGGGUGUUUGAAUUUCAAAUUANUACGAGGGGGGAGAGGGAGAGAGAGCGAGCGAGCGAGGGAGGGAGGGAGGGAGGGAGGGAGGGAGAGGGAGCGAGAGAGAUACGACAUAAACAUCAUCAACACGAAGAAUGCAAUCAAACACAUCUAAAAUUAUAAAACAUAAAUCGAGAAAUAUAUAGAACUCAGAUAGUGCAGAAGAAAGAGACGGAAAGCAAAAAGGGCAUAUUUGAAUUUCAAAUUUCAAAUUAAUGAAAUAAAUGGGGAAGAAUAUGUGAUGUAUACACAUCUGAGAGAAAACCUAUAUUUGAAAUAUGAGGAGGAAGGGAGCACGUGAAGUGUGUGUAUGUAAGCAUGUGGCAUCAGUGGCACUCAAAUGUGAUAAAGCAAGGGGGAGGGACAUUGGAUGUAAAAAAGCAUCCAUAGAGCAAUCAGCAUUUAUCUAUUUAUAGAUUACAAAAACUUGAUUUAAUAAUAGUAACCUGAAUAACUCACAACAUAAUAUUCUCUAAACUGUUGUCGUGAAACAAAAACAGUUUAGGCACAGUUUUGAUGAUUCCACAAGACCACUGAAAUAUUUCUGAUACUAAUUUACUAGCACUUCUAAGUCUAACUCUCCUUUUCUCCCUAUUGACAAAUAUUAUUAAGAGAUAACUAUCUCAACUUGGCUGAGCACCAUUCUCGGCCUCAUUAGUUUCAAUUGAAGUUGGUAAANUGUAAGCAUGUGGCAUCAGUGGCACUCAAAUGUGAUAAAGCAAGGGGUAGGGACAUCGGAUGUAAAAAAUCAUCCAUAAAACAAUCAGCAUUUAUCUAUUUAUAGAUUACAAUAACUUGAUUUAAUAAUGGUAACCUGAAUAAAUCAUAACAUAAUAUUCUCCAAACUGUUGUCGUUAAACAAAAACAGUUCAGGCGCAGUUUUAACGAUUCCACAAGACCACUGAAAUAUGGCUGAUACUAAUUUACUAGCACUUCUAAGUCUAACUCUUCUUUUCUCCCUAUAGACAAAUAUUUUUAAGAGAUAACUAUCUCAACUUGGCUGAGCACCAUUCUCGGCCUCCUGAGUGACACCGUCGUUAUUUUCAAUUGGAUUUGGUAAUGGAAACACUUCUGCCACCAUAUCCACUAAUUCAUCAAUAUUUUCUCCAAAUCGUCCAUCACAAUCUUCCACAAUCUGCAAACAAAUGCCAAAUUUUACAUUCAUAUAUAAUGAACAUUUAAAUUUUUAAUACCAGCAUGAUAUCAAAACAUUCAACCAGGUAUAUAAGUGGGCCUAUGAAAAUUGCACUUUUAUUCAAUUGAUUCAAAUUCAUUCACUUGAAUAAUAUACGUCAAGUAGUUCAGGUUGGGAAUUUUUGCUGGACAAGAUCCUUUCUACAUCAAACAUAAAGACUAAUAAUAGAUCCGCACACAUUCAAGCAUAUGAGGGCUGUUUCUUGUAUCUUAUUUAUUUUAGUAGGUGCUAUUGUGUUUAGCUAGUCUGCUAGUGCACCAGUUUGUUGCUUAGGUAGCUGCCUGCCUUGUUGGCCACUCUACUAAUUUUCAAUUGACCUUUGCCCAGAAAAGGGUGCAUUUUACUCAAGUACUCAUCUACAGGAAUUAAGUUUUUUAAAACGAAAGUUAUUUGUUUAUCUCCUACAUACCAUUUUGGUUCUCUGCUAUAUAACCUCCUCACAGCAUUUCAGACAACCCAAUGAUGUGCAUACAAAAAGCAACUAUACAUAUGGGCAAAACAUUUUGCAAUCAUGAAGACCAGAGGUACUGGCAUAACAAGAGAAAAAACAAAUAAAAAAGUUAUCGGUCAAUCGAGGGAUCAACUAGAAAACUAAGGAAAAUGUUUCAAAUAGUAAGUUUACCGAGUCAAGUUCAACAACAGAAGAAGGUCUAAUGUUAAUGACAUUAAUGAUCUCAGCUUUUGCAAGUUUAAAUUUCUCACUCCUUGAAAUGAAAUCAGUGAUGCUCUCUUUUGUUUGAUAGCGAGCCACACUUUGCUCCAAAUAAUCAAAAACCUGAAUUAGAUAAUAAAAAUUAAUCAGCAAUUCAAUAAUAUAAUACUUUUAGCAAAAUUAUAUGAGAAAUGUUUUAGUGAAUAUGCUAACCUUAUAUUCUGAUGGUGCUACAGGAGCUAUAACACGUGUUGCGUCUUUUCCAGCCCCCCUAGACCGCAGGAAUUCAAGUACCUCAAAAUUUGUAAGUGCCCCAGCAUUGGCUUUUAAUCUGAAAAAUGUCCAAAAAUACUUGAUCACCACUAAAAGAACUGACAAUAACUGUUAAUGCUUAAAGCAAGUGCCAAAAGAAUGACCAAUAAGUCAAAAAGUUGAAUUACAUACAUCUUCAUCAGGAAUCCAAAAGUUGCCCUUUCAGUUCCUGGUUAUCACACUUUAUAUGUAGAGAAGCAAGAGCAAGCUGCCCGCCUGCACCAAAAUAAAAAUUAGCAAAUUGGGCGUCUUGAAUGGAGUUACGCAUUUUGCAUAUAGUAUAAGUUAACCGUAAAUUUAUAAUAUAAACAAUCAACUGAGAGAUAGAGCAAUUGUUAUCCAGAGUUUCAAUAAAUGUCAAUAGACAUAAGGUAAUACAUUCAUGAUUCAACCCAUCAUUCAUGGACGCAAAAAAAAAAAUCAUCUCUCGUGGCCACCCUAACUAUUAAUUGUACUUAACCCACUAAAAAACUUAUCCCAAUUCUAUAUAAUAAGUAACAUAGAAACUUGAAUCCAACUAUAUAUACUCCCCCCCAGAUUCUUGAGAUUAUGCAGCCUUUAAGGAUUUUAUAACCUAGACUCUAUAAGGAUUUGGCUCUAAGAAGGCACAAUAGAACGAAAAAUAUGAAGAUAAAAUAUAGGCAAAGAACCACUAUCAUCUAGUAACAAUCUCAAUGAAGCAAACAUUUAAUGUCAUUUUAACCUACCUCAAUUAACUAUCGUGUAUUACAUUGCUAAUGCAAUAUCUAUACCAAACAGACCAAAUUAUAAAAAGAGCAGCCAAAAUUCACGAGAUUAAGCACAUGGACAAAAGACAAAAGUUUUACGGACACAGAAAGGUCAACUUAUAGCUACUGCAAUGAGCAAAAACAGCAAGUGUGUUCAACUGAUGCCCUAGGAAAAGCAAUUGCUAUGCUAAUGACAAAUUUUGAAACAAAACACGGAUAACUCCCAUAUUGAUAAAAGACCUACUGAUUAAGUCUUUGAGCACAAACACUCUAUAACACAUAGACUGGUUUUAGAUCACUUCCAACACCCACAGUAUACAAAAAGAUCCUAAACAUUACGAUAUCUGAUUAACUAAUUUUACUACUAAUAAGAAUUUAAAGGCUCAAAAUCUUAGUCAAAACACAAAAUACUUACCUCAUACCACUGGAUAGUUAUUGAAAGCCUUUAGUCGACUGUAUAUUAUAUAUAGAGAGAGGGGCAAGUAAGAACUCCGAAAGAAAACCGGGAAAAAAACCCUAGGGUUUUGAGCUCUCUGUUUUAUUCAUAUACGCACAACCAAAUAUUGAAUCACUAAUAUUCAUAUAUAUCAAAACUUUACAUGUAAAUUUGUAAAUAAAGAUGAAGAUAGUGAAUCUUGAUUUCAUUCCUUGUAUUAUUGUAUACAUCAUUCCACGACUCAAAUCCUAAAACAAAUUGACCUUUAUGAAGACACGGACAGCUGUGAUUUGAAAAAAUCAUCGGACCGCCAACUCUACCCGUUCAGCAUAAACCCUAAUUUUACCCCCAAUUCAACGUAAAUCCCAGAUUGGAACCCUAAUUUCGUUUGAUAACUCUAAUUUCGUUUGGUUUUAUACUUGAUACAAAGCAACAUAUGAUUCACAUAAAGUAACAAAAUUCAAAAUCCAAUGGAGUGGCAGAAAAGGGCUCUAAACAAACCUGUAUGUAGAGCCGAACGGAAUGGCGGUGUGUUUGUGUUGGUUUGUUUUGGACGCACCGUGCUGAAUAACCGCGGUCGUUCUGGACCCAACGUAGUAAUUAAAUUUCCGCGUAUUCGAUACAACGGAGCAGAAGCUGUUUGUUGCAUAAACCUUGGCAUUUGUCGGGCAUCACUUGUAAGUAUUUAUAUUAUUAAUUAUUAAUUAUAUUUCUUAAUAAUUUUUAGGUAUUAUAUGUUUCAAUAACUUUAAUUUUUAUCAUAAUCUUUUUUCUAGAUAAAAUUUUAUAAUAAACGUAAUAUGAUUAUUAAAUUUAUAUUUAUUUAUUUUUUAAAAUUAAUACUAUAAAAGCAUUUUAAUGUAUUAUUACUGUGAAUUUUAGCUCUUCGUAUGAAGAGAUAUUAUUAUCAUAUUUGUCAAUUCUAAUCGAUCAAAGUUGGAAUUUAACGGCUUUCAUAAAAAAAUAUAAAUAAUAGAGAUAUAACUAAAUUAUAAAUUAUAUUGAUAUUUACGUAAAAUAGUAUAUUAUGGUAUAAAUAAAUUAUAAUUUAAUAAUUGAGAUGUUGUAUAUUUUAUUCAGUAUUGUAAAAAGUAAAAGCAUAAUUCAAACUUAGUCAAUAAAAUCGUGAAAUAAGGAUUCACCAAAAAUUAACUUGAUUGCUUAUAAAUUAGUCAAAUAAUUAAAUAAAUAAUCAGAUAUUUCAUCAACCCGAAUAUGAAUUAAUUGGAUUAAGUAUCAAUUUUUGGGAGGCGCCGCCAUCCAACAACCACGCAACAAUAUCAAAAUCGUGACAAAUAAUGAGGACUCAAUUUGACUUCCAUAACGAGGCAAAAAAACCCACCAAACUACAUUACAUGGAUUAAUCGGAUUAAUCAUCAAUUUUUAGGAGUCAACUCUAUCCAACAACCACGCAUCAAUACCAAAAUCAGACUCGUCACAAGACGGUUUCAAAACAGUAGUACAACUAACAAAUAAAAAGUCAUUACUAGAUUGGAACAAGCUCAUCUUCAUUGAAUAGUUUGAGAAUCGAUCUUAAAAAAAUCAAAAUAAUUUUAUAUUUAAGAUGAACGUUUUCUAACAUGCACAAUAUUAGGCAGCUCAAAUUAUUUUUUCAAAAAUAUUUUCAAAUGGACGACUUAUCAAUUUCAUCGAUUAUAUUGGUGAGGUUGAUGUAAGUUAAGAAAAAUUCACAUGCUUCGAUAUUCAGCGAUUUGUUUUAAAAAUAAAAUAUUGCCAACCUUACAUAUUCUUUACUAGGGUAUCACUGUUCAAAAUGCAGCUUAACUGACUUACUGAGUGCCUGUUCGGAUACCGGAAAUAAGUGCUUUUUUCAUAAUACGGCGGUUUCUACUUUUCUUGACUGAUUUGUAUAAAAAGCUAAAGAGCACUUAUAAAAAAAAAAGUUUAAUUAUCAGGUUGGUCACUGAAGUGGGUUUAAUGUAUCAAGUCGGUCACUGAACUCAAAACGGUAUCAAGAUGGUCACUAAAGUCACCAUAAAAAUCAAACAAGUAUCUUGAAAUAUGAGUUCAAGCAGUAAAAACAUUAUUUAUAAAGUUUUACACAUUAUUUUAAAUGUUACCACAACCAACUAAAAGGUCAUGACUUCUAGUAUUCAAAAUAAUAUAUUUAUAUUUUAUCAAGUUUAUUUAUUAUUUAUAUUUUAUUAUAUAGUUAUUUCUUUGUUUUAAUUAAAAAUAAAUAAUAAAUAAACUUAAUAAAAUUUAAAUAUAUUAUUAUAAAUAUUAGAAGUCAUAACUUUUUACUUGAUUUUGGUAACAUUAAAAAAUAAUAUGUACAACUUCAUAAAUAAUAUUUUUACGGCUUGAACUCAUAUUUCAAGGUACUUAUUUGAUAUUUAUGACCACUUCAGUGAUCAUCGUGAUACCGUUUUGAGUUCAGUGACUAACUUGAUAUAUUAAGUCCACUUCAGUGACCAACUAGAUAAUUAACCCUAAAAAAAACUGGGAGUGCUAAUAUUUCUUUCAUAACUUAUACUUUUUUUCCGAGCAUUUCAAUCACUUGUGGGUCUUAACUUGUUUCUCACUUUUACUUUAGAUAAGAAGCAUUUAUUUUAAACCCAGCAAAACGGCCUCUAAAUUACACAUGUCAGAAAAAUUGUUGAUUACACACGCACACGUGGGGAGUCGAACUCCCGACCUCCCGCAAGGGGGUACAAGAGCUCUACCACCACACCAACACCUGGUGGUGGUAUGUUCAAACAUUUUGAGGUCCUGCUGAUACUUUGAAUCGUGGACGCAUCUCUGACACUCCAUUGCCACAAAAGAUUCAUGUGGGUCCACCAAAAUAUGAACACAACAGCAGCCAUAAACCUUAAAAACAACUAAUGUAAGAAAAAAUUCACCCAUACAGUACAGAAUCUCCAAGGAAAAUGGAAAAACUCUGCAACAGCUUCGAUCUUAACUCACCGCAUAUUUCCCCAAUUCCAACUAAGUUCCCGACAAGACCCACUUCAUCACUUACUUAUACUCAUAUCUCUUGCUCAAAUCGUGGUAAACACCAUAAAUGUAUUGUACUAAAAAAGAUUACUACAGCCAAGAAUUAUUCAGGUUCACAACUUGAUAAGACUGGAGAUUCUGUUGGGUUGAAUCAUGGUUUUAUAAAGGGUAUUGGGAGAGGACUUGUUGGAUUUGCUGCUGCUUUAGCUGUUUGUGUUGAUUCUCCAGCUUUAGCUCAGUCCUUAACUGUUGCAUUCCCUGUUUCUCCUGCUCACGAGGUACUCAAUCAAUUGGGCUUUCUCGAUUUUGUGCUAUUUCAACUUAUAUAAUUGUAAUUUGUUAAGAUUUAUUUGUUGGGGUAGGUAAAUACAGUGCAGAGAACUCUUGUGGAGGCUUGGAGUUUGAUUAGGGAGACCUUUGUCGAUCCUACUUUUAAUCAUCAAGGUGAAUUUAAAUGAUUUCAUCGAUUGAUUCUUGUUAUUUCGUUAUGAGAUAUUUGAGAGGAAAGGUUGUACAUGUUUAGCAGGCAAGUUGUGGUUGAGAUAAUUCAAGAUUUUUGGUUUUGUAGAUUGGGAUAUGAAGCUACAACAAACAAUGGUUGAAAUGUUCCCUCUUAAAUCAGCUGAUGCUGCUUAUAAUAAGAUCAGUGGGAUGCUUGCUACCCUCGGGGACCCCUUUACACGAAUUAUUAGUCCUAAGGUCCCUUCUUUUUAGAGUUUCUACAUCCUUAUGAAUUUUAUAUGCAUGCUGUUUCUUUUUGCCGCCAUUGUGCAAAAAGCCUUUUUUUGUGCACUUUGUCUGUCAAUUAUUGGAGAUGAAUUUAUUUUAUGCAUAUUGUUUUAUCACCCAUUUGGCCAUUCCUAACAAUCCGAGCUCAGUUGUUAUAAAAGCUACUUCUUUGUUAUGUUUUUCAUUUCCGCUAAAGUGAUUCUGACCUGCAGGAGUACCAAAGUUUCAGAAUUGGUAGUGAUGGUAAUUUACGUGGAGUUGGUCUAUUCAUAAAUGUCAAUCCAAAGACAGGGAAUCUGGUUUGUGAAUUAAUCUCUAAUUUGCAAAUUAUAACUAUAUUCUAGUUGCAUGGAACAAUUUAUAAAAUUUUGAGUUGCCAAGAGUAGUACUAGUAAUAACUAAUAAUUAUAAAAUCGUGUACUGGGUAAUAAUUUCUGUAUUCAUAGUGAAUAUUUCAAGCAUUAUGCAGGUCGUUAUGUCAUGCGUAGAGGGUAGCCCAGCAGAUCGUGCUGGCAUACUUGAAGGAGAUGAGUUAAUGGAAAUUAAUGGUAUGUUAAUGUUCAACUCUUACAUUUCAGUCUGGAACUCAAAGGUGGAUGUCUAAGUAGCAUGUAUUAUGUAAAAUCUUUCCCUCUAACAAAAACUGCUAAUUUAAUAUAUUCAGAACUUAUUUCAAAUCUUCCUCAGUCCUCACAGGAAUAAAUCUUUUAUUAAUGGAGUUACUAGACCAUCAUAUCGCAUGAUUUCUUUUGUUCCAACAAUUUGUAUAAGCCUCCAGGUGCCUUCUUGAAUAGGCCAUCAUUUGUUAAAUUUGAGAACAAAUAUAAGGCUAUGUUUGUUUCCAAGGACUAGAAUCUCCAGAUUUCAAGAAAUGCAUCUUAAACUCAUUUAAUUAUACUUUAAGCCUUAAAAUAUCCCUAAUUUCUAUAUUGAUCACUUUCUAGUUCAUAUUGGUAAGUAUUUUAGCCACGUUUCCCGGCUUAAAUCAUGCAAAGGGAACAAAUAAGGAUAUGAUAUAGCGAAAAAAUGGAGCGAAUAAGACAAUAGUCUGGGAAUUAUUAACCAUAAGAACGACAUAGUCUAAAUCGACACUUGAAAUUAGUGUUGUAUUUUCUGAACAUAUUUCUGACUCACUAUAAUUGCGAGACAUGAUUGUGGUCGAGCUGCUUUGCAAGACAUGAUAGCGGUCAAGCUACUUUAAAUAUCAGUACUGUCAUGUUGCUAAGAGCUUUUGAAUGUAUUUUUUAUAUAUAUAAAUGAUCAAGAAGGUAUAUAUCUUGAAAUUAUCAAAUACUACAGAAUAUACUAGUAUAGGUUCCUCUUUUCCCUUUAUACCUGUCUAAAAGUAAGGAUUGGAUCGUAUAAACAGCUUAAUAUAAUCACCUAACAAAAAGAAUUGGAGAUAAUGAUGCAAUCUAGAAAUCUUUUGGAAAUGAAGGCAAAAGAGAAAGAAAGAAAGUAGUAUGUCAAGGCUCUCAAAGAUCAAUAGCCGACAACAAGGACCGCUAGAAUCAGGCAUCUUGGUGUAUGUGCUUUUAGUGCUUUUUUAUCCAUGCGAGUAGUUUAUGGUAGAAGAGACACUUUCCAGGUACUAUAUUACACAAGCUAACCAUCUUGUAUGAUCUUCCUGGGACUUAAGGAGAGAGGCUUGAUGGUAUCAGCAGCGAAGGAGCCGCACAGAAGCUCAGAGGGAAAGUUGGGACAUCUGUUACAGUAAAAGUUCGCAGGGUAAAAUCGCAAUCCAUUACAAGCAAUCCAUAUAAUGUUUUUUUAUAGUUCAAGAAUGUGAAAUAAAUUCGAAGACAGAUUUUCUAAAUGGUUUUUCAGAAAUCAGCAUCUUGUUUGUGUUGUGAUUUCUAAUACAUGAAAAUUAAUGAACCAGAAGGGUACAUUAUAUCGACACAUUUCACAUUUGGUUAUUAUUAGUUAACUAUUACUGGUCUAACAAAUGUAGCUUUGUUUUAGUUAGUGAGCUCUUACAAAUCAAUUCAUAUAAUUUCAUAUGUAUCUUGGCAGAACCUUUAGAUGUCACACAAGUUCUGCAUGACUUACAAUUUUUUUUUUGAAAAAGUCAUCCAAUGUGAAUGAUAAUAUGGUUAUGAUUUACACCAAAAAUUGCUCUAAUUAGUAUUGUGGUGAUUCUGUUUUUUUCCUACAGGGCUCUAAAUCAGGAGGUGGUGAUAAUUUGAGAGAGGUAGUGCUUAUUAGCUUUUGUCGAGUAUUUUGUAGUCUAGAAUUUUAUAGGAUUUUUCAAUACAGUGUCAUAUUGAAGCAUGUGUCGUUUGUGAAGGUAAAUCUACCUCGCGAGUUUAUAAAGCUUUCCCCUAUAUCUAGUGCUGUCAUUCCUCACAAAACUCCUGACGGCCGUCUGUCAAAGACUGGUUAUGUGAAGUUGCUAGCCUUCUCUCAGGUACUUAUGGUUGGUAUAUAUCUUAUUGGCAAUUACUUAGAAGCUUUAUUACAAACAUAAAAGCAGUGUAAGUGUUUAUUAAACUCUGCAAUCAACUCAGAUUCUUACUUUUUAAAUGACAGACUGCUGCUUCUGAUAUGGAAAGUGCAGUUACUGAGUUGGAGAAUCAGGGAGUACAAUCAUACAUACUCGAUCUUCGCAACAACCCGGCAAGUUUCUCAUUUUUAAAUUGCUUCUAUUUUCUUUUACCGAACUAUUUCUCUGAAUUAUUCGUAAUUCUAUUCUUAUACAAGUUAGUUUGCAGGGAGGUCUAGUAAAAGCAGGCCUUGAUGUUGCGCAGAUAUGGCUGGAUGGUGAUGAGACUCUUGUGAACACUAUUGAUAGGGAUGGAAAUAUGUUACCUAUCAACAUGGUCAAUGGGCAUGCUAAAACACAUGAUCCACUUGUUGUACUUGUAAGUUUGGUGCAUUCUAUAUUUUUCUUUUUCAAAGCAUAUCCCAGCCUCUACGUGUUGAGCUGCUCCGAUAACAAGUUAUGCGAAUUGACGUCAAUAUGUAGCCCUUUCUGUAAUUUAUAUGGCGCAGAGCAGUAAUAAAUAAUAAACGUCUUCACAGAAAAGCUGAUAAACUAAAACUUUCUGUUCAUAUUUUCAAUACAAAAAGUGAAGUUAUUGUUUCUACAAAUUCUUGUGUUCUUCAUUUUCUUCUUUUUAAUCGUGAAACAGGUAAAUGAGGGCAGUGCUAGCGCGAGUGAAAUCCUUGCAGGUGCACUGCAUGAUAAUGGCAGAGCUAAACUUGUAGGACAUAGAACCUUUGGGAAAGGAAAAAUUCAGGUAAAGUUCUUCCCUGUCAGACAUGGCAUACAUUGUAUUAACUUUGUAGAUGAAAAUGGUGGCAUGUAUUUUUAUUACAAGAGUCAUCAAGCUCUUGCAGAAAACUUUCCUGAAAACUGUCAUUGAUUUUUCUAAAACAUGCAUAUAUGGUUGGCAUCACAAGCAAGAAAUGUAGACUAUAAAUUAGAAAGGACAAAAACAGAAUUUGAUGUAACGAAAGUCGAAAUAUGCAGAAAAGUUUAGUUUUUUUUUAAUUGAAAAAAAAAAAGGCCAUCCCAAUUGCCCCAUAUAGCUUUUGCCAAAUGCCAGCAUGAGCACCAGUAAGUUUGAUUCUAUUUGCUUCAUGGAUAGUAGUCUUACCACACAGCAGGAGAAAAUAAAUACUUAAAUCACAUUGAAUUUUUUUCCCACUUUUCUUUUGACUUAAUCCUUAUGAUCACCAUAUAAUUACUGGAAUGCAGAGUGUUACAGAAUUGGAUGAUGGAUCAGCUUUAUUCAUAACAGUUGCAAAGUAUUUGUCACCGGCACUUCAUGACAUUGAUCAAGUAGGUAUAGCACCUGAUGUUCAGUGCAGCGCGGAGAUGCUAAACUCUCCUAGAGAGUCUUUUAUGAAAAAUAAGAGUAGCACAUCUUUGGAAGCAGAUUCUUGUAUCAUGGUGGCAGAGCAUGAACUAGAAGUUCAAGAAUCCAAAGGUUCUGCCUCUUGAACAAAUAUUCUUUUGCCCUUCUACUCAGUCAUAGUUUUGACUUGUAUAUAAAUGUGUAUAAAAAUUUGAAAUUCGACCAUCGUGUGCAAAAAAAAAGAAGAAAAAAGAAUAGAAGUGAAUUUAUUGAAACAUUAGCAAUAAAGAACAUCAAGUACAAAAGUCGUUUAAAACAAUAAUUAAAAGCAAUAGUUGUACAUGUUUUGGGUGAUUCUCGCUUCUCAGUGCCUCAAGAGACCACAGAGAGAGAUGAGCAGAGAAGUUCCGAUGAACAUGGUUGACACCGGGAGUGCAAACGAGGCGCCAACAUCAGGUGAAGGUGCAGGGGCCAGCUGAGCUGAAACGGCAACAGCACUGGAGACAAUGGCUAACAUGAUGAUGCUGAUAAGAUGAGCCAUAUUAGAUUGAUGAAUUGUAAAUGUGAGAGAUUAUGUGCUAUGUUUCUCUGCAGCAGGGAUCAAUCUGAUGAAGGAUAUGAUUGUUUGGCGAGGAUUGUGUGUAUUUAUAGCAGCAAUGUGCAAUAUGAUCAAAGGAGAAAACAAUGUGUGUGAAAUGUGAAGCCCACAAAUAAUAAUGGUAAAUGAUUAGUUUAGCGGCGAACAACUCACAAUAAAAUUUUGUUUCUUUUUUGGUGAGUAUCUGUCAUUGCAAAAUUACCCAACUGGCUGACAACUCAUUAGUCAUAGCAGAACAUGCACCAGCACCAAUAUCUCAUUUUUCUAUUCUCGUUGAGAUUUGAUAUUGCAAAUGAAUGCAUAUAUUCUCCAUUCCAUUAUCAUGACAUAUGCUUGAUUUUUAUUUUUUAGUCUUUGAAACAAAGUAAGCAUGUAAAAAUAUGUAAAAAGAAUAUUCAAAUUACAAAAAACACACUUGAACAGAGAAAAAGAAAAUGUAUAGAAAUAUAUUUUGCAAAAAUGGAUCUGAAAGAAGUUGCAUUAAGAAGUAAUUUAUAAGAAUUUUACAACCGGGGAUUUCAUAUAUGUAGAGAUCAAAAUAAAUUUACCAAAUCAUAAAUAUCAUCCGAAGAAUUAAUAAAAUAUUUAUAACCGGAGGUUUUAGAUAUAUAAAGAUCAAAAUAGAUUUAUCAAAUGAAAAAUAUCAUCGGAAGAAUUAAUAAUAAUGAUUAGUGAAAAUGUGUUGUACAUGUAUCGUAUCAUAAACAUCUAAUGAUUUAUUAUGAUAGGCUCAAGUAUGUUGUCAAGUAACUCAUUUUAUUUUAUUAUAUUAUCUGAAAUUUUGUCCUAAAUUCUCUGUGAGUAGCAUAUUAUAUGAAUUAUAUGCAAAAGUCGGUAAUCAUCUUUGUAUAACUCAUAUAAUAUAAUAUACUACAGAUUUUUCGUAAACUCUUCUCAAGUAAUAUUUUGUCUUAAUUUUUAUAACAUUGAUAUUGAAACGAAUUAAAUCAAGUAGAAAAUUGAGAAAACGGAAUCAAAAAGACAAUUAAAUCAAGUAGAAAAUCUUAUUACUUGCCGUUACAGAGAAGGUAGAAACGAAUGAAUGAUGAAAUACAUAUACACAGCAAAAAGAAUAGAUAAGCAAAAGCGCAGUACAUACAAAUCCAGGACAACCCGGGGUAAUUAAUUACUAUAAAAGAUGAGUAAUAAAUUUAAAGACGAAGCAGGGAGAAAAGCAGCGAGGCUCCGAGUAAGGCAGCAGAAGCGGGCAGUGAAAAUGCGGCUCCAACAUCAGGAGAAGGUGCGGGUGCCUCCACCUGGGCUGACACUGCAGCCACGCCAGAUAACACAACAGCUGCAACCAAGACCUUGUUCAUCAUCUUGCUCUGAGCCAUUUUGAUAAUUAUAUGAAUACAAUAAACUUGUGAAUUGAUGUGUGAAUUGUGAUGGUGUGAGAAAGAGAGGGGGAAGGGUGAUGUUUAUAUAGAGAAUUACACGAGUAUCGAAAGAAUGAAUGGAGUCAUAUGGGAGGAUGGUGAAUGUGGAACGGCUAGCCAGCUGUGUUUAACAGCUGGAAGUGGUUGGUAGUGCGUUGUGUGUUUGUCUUUUGCUUUGCUUACAGCGCACAUGCUCUCAGGCCUGAUGCCCCCGCUAACGGCGCCGCUGUUUGUGUAGUAUUGUAAUACUAAUACAGCAGAAUCAGAGUACUCAUAAGUAUUUAAAAAAAAAUCUAAAUUUUUCGUCGGCUGAUGUGAUAUACGAAUAGUUGAUUUAAUCUAAUGAUUUGUGUGAAAGUAAAAAAUUUAUUAUUAUUUUAAUAUGGAGUAUCUAGCAUUUUUUCAAAAAUAAAUCGAGAAAAAAUAUUAGUCUUGAAUUAAAGUGUUCUUUUAAAUUUUUGGACCUGUAAGCUGAAUUGUGAAAAAAAAAAGAUUAAAAUAAUUUACGAAAUUUGAUUAAAGAAAAUGCAUAUUUGUACGUAUUUAUGUUAAUGUAUAAUUUGAAAAUGAGAGAGUUUUAUUAAAAAUUCUUAAGAAGAGAUUAUUCUCUAUUAUUAGAGAUAUUCAGUACCUACCGCGUCAGAAUCUCGAGCAUUAUUAGAGCUGGAGAAAUGAUUAAUAUUUUGAUUAUGAGUAGUGUCCAUGUGAAUGACAAAGCCCGCUAUUAUCGCUUCUUAUUUGUCUUCACUAGACUCUUGUCUGUCAAUCUCUUUAAUUUCCUUAGGUUUCGAGAUAUAACAACUCUUCGAUCAGUACAAGACUUCUGCUUAUCAAGCUUACUGAACUUCCGUAAUCCAAAUAAGUUAGGCGGCACAAGUUGCGAAGAAGUGAGAGUGCAACUUGUGGCCGAUGAAGGGAUCUCGAUAUUUCUCGAAUUUUACCACGUUGAUUGAAUUAAUUAGAAUGGUGGAUAAAACUUUUAUUUUUUUUAUAUAUAACUGAUUAUUUUUUCUACUUAAAAAUAAUAUGCUUAAGUUGUAAUAUUUUGGGGUUAAUUGAUGUAAAUAUAUAUAAAUCAAAAGGACUUAAAAACACAUUUCAAAAUAUAUAUAAAAUUUUAUUUUAAAUUAAUUAUACAAUCAUACUUUAUAGCAGAACUGCGUACUAAGCAGUUAAAAAAAUAAUAUACAAUUAAAUAAGGCUAAUAUACGUGAUCAAUGAUAAUUUGAAUUGAACAUUGAAUUUUAUCAUUUUGAUUAGAGAAAUGAAUACAAAUGCCAUCAAUGGGAUUUGAAUCAUGACCAGCUUUGAUUUUGAUUUUUGAUUUUUGAUUAGGAGAAUGAAUACAAAUGUCUUCAAUGGGAUUUGAAACCAUUUUUAAUAAUCAAUUUUAUUACAACAAAUCAAAACAAUUACCGUACUUGUAUAUAAGACGCAACUACAAUUUUAUUAUGAAAUAACCCGUAUCAAUAUUUCGAUUUAGAUAUAUACUGGUAGGGGUAACCCCAACACAAGCCCAAGCUCCCUUGUUUAUCGUCUUAAUUAUUUAGAAAAAUAAAAAUUUCAUGUUUAAACUUUUAAUUAUACUAGCCUUACACCCGUGCAAAGCACGGGCGACUAUAUAAUUUAAAACUUAUUAUUAAUUAUUAUAUAAUAUUAAUAUAUAUUAAUGAUAGUAAAUUUACUUUUUUUUAUUUAUUAAUUAAUUAUAAAUUAUAUUUAAAAGAACAAUGGUAGAGUUUUUAUCUUGUUGUAUAUCAAACUAUUUAGAGAUGUAAGCGUGUGAGAACUCUACGUGUAGCAGACUUUUACGUGUAGCAGACUUUUAGUUAUAAGGUGAAUCACUAAACCAACAUGACCAAACCAAAAUUUUGUAGGACGACAAAUUAUAUCCAUGUUGCCUUAUUAUAGAAGUAAGAUAAUAUAAUUUUAAAAAUAAAUAAUAAAAUUAUGUAAUUAAUGGAUCUUAAAUUAUGUACAUGUAAAAUCAACCACUCAUAUACCAUACAAAUAAUGGAUCUUAAAUUGUGCAUGUAAGGUCGAUAAACUCAUACACGGUAAGAUAGAGCAUCUACAACACGAUAAGAAGAGAGCUUCUACAGCCGUGUUAGCUAAAAAUAAUUGAUUUAAAUUGCACCUAUAAAGGAUAUAGGUAGUAAAUUUGUUUAAUUUGUGAGAGAUUUUAUCUUUUUCAUUUGGUCGAAAUCAGAAAGCAUUUUCACAGAUUUGAUAAGUAUUUGGAAACAGAUUUUAGAGAUCUUAAAGUUAAGAAAGAAACUUAUCAACAGAUUUGCACAGACAAUAGACAAGAGGGAUAUAAACUAAGAACUUUAUUAAUAGUAGCAAAAGAAUACAAAUGAAUGAUACAUAACCAAACCCAAACUCAGGCACACACCAGGGUGCGCCGUGUAUAAACUAUAAAUAAAUAUAAUGUAAUAAUAUCAACAAACGAAGCCCAGCGGAUAAAAAUUCAACAUCUCAGUGACGGAACAGAGCAACCAGGGAGAAAACAAGAGAGGUUCCCACGACAGCCGUUGAAACAGGGAGAGAAAAGCCUGAGCCCAUGUCAGGUGAGGGCGCUGGAGCCAUUUCUUGAGCUGAAGCCGCGGCUACGACUACGGCCAGGACUACGAAGAACAGGUUCAUCAUUUGCUGAGCCAUUUGAUUUUCGAGAGAGAAAGAAACUGAGAGAGAGAGAGAGAGUUUGUUUUUUGAGUUGGGGAUUGAGAGUGUUGAGAUGAAUUGAAAGAGUGGGAGGGGAGUGUGUAUUUAUAGAGGGAUGGUGUUUUUACUUAACGAUUAAGAGUGUGUGAGCUGUGAGAAGAGAGUAGUGGGAAAAGGUUAAGGAGUGACAGCUGGGGGUGGAGUAAAAUAUUGAAAAUGGGAAACAGCGUAACAGCUAGAUUUUAGAAUGUGUGAAAAGCAACAGCUACAACGUGGGCGGUGAGUUGGACCUUUCAACCACCGGGACCCACUCCUACAACGGUCGGUCAAGCCUCGGUUCAACAAUUAUAUUCCACAUACAUUUAUGAGCCAUAACGUUACAUGUUUGGUACUCCAUACAAUAUUGCCGAUAAUUAUUUUGUUAGAUUACGAAAAAAGUGGAUAAAAUUUGUAUCGUGACAUAAUAUUGAGGUAAAUUGAUUUUUGCUAGAAGUUGGAUUUUAAACUGGAUCAUAAUAUAAGUAAU